Molecule: small nucleolar RNA, 107 nt
Organism: Hevea brasiliensis (rubber tree)
Lineage: Eukaryota; Viridiplantae; Streptophyta; Magnoliopsida; Malpighiales; Euphorbiaceae
Source: RefSeq, a predicted model, not a curated record
AUUCCAUGGUGUGGACAUUCCCUCUGUUGGUCUUUAUAUCUUUCCCAUGCAUCAUAGAGUGAUUCUCCUUCCUUUUGUUAGAAGGUUUUGAGCUCAAGCCUCAGUUU